RNAcentral lists this ribosomal RNA (406 nucleotides) under uncultured bacterium. RNAcentral's name for it is "partial 16S ribosomal RNA". It matches the Rfam family "Bacterial small subunit ribosomal RNA", at positions 30 to 526 of the family's 1533-position model. The record is from RNAcentral.
AUUGAACGCUGGCGGCAGGCCUAACACAUGCAAGUCGAACGAGUGGCGGACGGGGGAGUAAUGUCUGGGAAACUGCCUGAUGGAGGGGGAUAACUCCGGGAAACGGUAGCUAAUACCGCAUAGCAACGGAUGUGCCCAGAAGGGAUUAGGUAGGAGGGGGGGUAAAGGCUCCCCUAGGCGACGAUCCCUAGCUGGUCUGAGAGGAUGACCAGCCACACUUGAACUGAGACACGGUCCAGACUCCUACGGGAGGCAGCAGUGGGGAAUAUUGCACAAUGGGCGCAAGCCUGAUGCAGCCAUGCCGCGUGUAUGAAGAAGGCCUUCGGUUUGUAAAGUACUUUCAGCGGGGAGGCGUUACCCGCAGAAUAAGCACCGGCUAACUCCGUGCCAGCAGCCGCGGUAAUUC